This 7733-nucleotide long non-coding RNA is filed under the name Gossypium barbadense (sea-island cotton). Its description in RNAcentral is "long non-coding RNA (GBAR_LNC015118)". The record is from RNAcentral. Lineage: Eukaryota; Viridiplantae; Streptophyta; Magnoliopsida; Malvales; Malvaceae.
GAUCACGAUAGCUCGGGCUUUGUUGAAUUACAGAAUAAAGGAAAAGAUGGCUAUGGCAAACUCCUCCAAUGCUCCAAUACUAUUUACAAAGAAGUUUCCUAGUCAGAAUCCUAGACCAACAAGUCCACAGCCUCCUGCUACCACCUCGAAAAUCCUUCCUUUAAUCUGCCCGAAGGUGGUUCCUCGAAACAGAUCUAUGUCAGCAACAGCAAAUGAGAAGCCCGUACUGACAUCAUCGCAAACACCUACUCCUGAAAGCCGUGGUGUUCGUCCACAGAAAUUCCCUGCAGCUGGAGCAGCGCCUUAUGUUCCCAUCAGACAAUUAAGGACACCUUGCUGUGGCAUUGCUCCACCAGUGACAAUAAGAACUGCAGUGCCUGUUUUCUCUGCACCUCCGCGUCCAGCACCAUCUGCAGUAUCUCCUCAGCCACCGACAUCAGCGGUUCCUACUCAUCCCGCUCAACCAGCACAAUCUGUUCUUCCUCCUCAUCAACUGCCAGCGACACUCCCCUCUCAAGUGCUGCGAGCUCCUCCAGUACGAAUUGCCCAAGCAGUCACCAUUAGGCAAGUGGUUCCUGUAUUUGCUGCUCCACCGGUACGGAAAGAAGAUAAACAAUCCGUUCCUCUCAGAAAUGAAGAUAUCACAACCGCUACUGCUGCUCCCCCGCCUAACCAAUCACCUACUCAAGCAGAGGAAGCAGCAAGCACAAUAUUGAAGAACCUGCAAGAAUCUGAGACGAUACAGAGUUUAGAACAACUCAAAAUCUGAUGGCAAGGAAGGAUCGAAUUCCGAAUGGAAGCAAUGGAGUAAGAGCUAUGGUUUUGUGUUGGUAUCAAAGUUUGUUUUUGUUACUUUUUGUCAACUCAUAUGUGAGUGUUCUUUUUCAUUUUGUUUUCUUAGAAAGCUAAAGCUACAGUUUCUGCAGAUUAAGUUAGUCCCAUAUAAUUGCAGUUAAAGUUAGACUAUGUCUAGAGGCAAAUUCUUAUUUAGUUUAUUUAUAAUUACCCCCCCCUCCCCGGAUCUAAUCCAAUGCUUCUGCUCGUAUUCAAUUUUAAAUGGUCAAAUUGUGGUUUUGGUCCUUGAGAUUUUUUUCUUAAAAAAUAUAUUUUCCAACACAAAAUCUUUGCCAGCAUGGUGAGGGGUCAAAAUUAUAAUAUCACCUCAAUAUUUUAACCAUGAUAUAGAAAAUUAUAAAUGAAUGGAUUUAUGCUUCCGUCUUUUUCAACCAGUCUUUUACUCUUCGGAAAAGCAAGUGUCGUGUCGAAGCUACCCCGAUUGGAUAGUAAUGGGAGUAGUGAAUGAUGGUUGAGUCCCCACUAAAUCCAUUUCCCAACAUUAUGAGAAUCUGCUAAUUUUGGGCAAAGCUCAUUUGUGAUAUGGAAAGAUAAAUUGUUAAAGCAAGCAACUACAUGGACGCUCAAAUCUUUAAUUAAUCUAAGUAGUGGAAAGGAAAAGAUAUACAUUAACAUAGCUGGGGCGUUGGAAAGAUAUAGAUAUAUUUGGAAAAUCAGUGAAUGAUGUUUUCCAUUCAUACACAACAAAAGACCAUCUUUCUCUUUUGAUUCACAUUGCUCUGUUUUACUGCCGACCCUUGAGUCUUUCUUGAUUUUAAACUCUCUUACAUCACCCUCUCCCCUCAACACUACUCUCUGUUUCCUUCACUUUGUGGGAUGGUUCUGGCUUAGAUUGUUGAAGUACAUCAGAAGGUAAAAACUGGAUUGGUGAACUAUUUGUGAUUUUCCACUAGUAUAUAUCAUAUUUGGUUAACUUUUGAACGUAAGUUGAGUACUUGGCAAUGGUUGUGCCUCAACUGUUAGCAUAUAUGCAUGUCGCAUAGGACCUCACGACUUGUCCCGGUCUUUGAAAAUCUGGAUACUUUUAUAAAACUUCAAAUUGCCUUAUAUGUCUAAUUCAUCUGUUGGCAGGUUAUAGCAGUUAAUGGGGCGUUUCCUGGUCCUGUUGUUAAGGUCACAACUGUGAAUAUUAAUGCUCACAAUCAGUUGGACGAAAAUCUUUUGAUGACUUGGUAGGAUUUGAGUGUUGAGAUAAAAAAAAUUUCUUCUUCCCUUGGGAUAUUAUUACUACUAUUAUUUGUUCCAAGUCAGGUUCUGAAACUAGAGAUUUUACAGGCCAGGAAUUCCAAAUUCAUGGCAGGAUGGUGUUCUUGGCACCAACUCAUCCAAAAAAAGAAUUUUACUUACCCAUUUCUCAAGUCAAGGAUCAAAAUUGGGAGCUUUUUCUACUUCCCCUCCCUCCUCAAUUUUCAAUUUAAUAAUCGGAAUAUUAUAGUAAUUCCUUUUCACCCUGACCAUCAUGUCAAUAUACGAGAUUCUUUUUUGCAAUUUAAGUCUAAUAAUUGACACACUCUUAUUUUAGGCAUUGAAAACAACUCUUGAGUCUGGUGAAGAAAUUGAGAUGCCGGAUGGAGUUCUCAUUAAUAGGAAACGACCCAUAAUUAUACCAUAUAUAGUUGCCUAAAGUUAGCUUGACUUAAAAUAUAAACCUCAAGUUUUGUCAAAAUUUACUCAUAUUUGUAAUGUCUAUUUCAAACUUGUUUAAGUUUAUCUAUUUAUUUUUAUUUUUAUUUAUUAGUUAUUAUUUAUAUAUUUUUAUUAGAAUUAUACAUUUUUUUCUUUCACUGCAUUUUUAAAUAUAAACAGCUUUAACAUAUGUUUAACAUUAAAAUUUAAUAUAAUAGAUUUUAUGUUUUUAUAUGAUAUAAAUCACAUCAUAUAUAACAAAAAGAAGAAAAUAAUAUAUUAUAAAAUUUAAAAUAGGCUGGAUCAAACCGAGUUUAAAUGUUUUUAUUUUCAAAUUCAUUUUUUAACUUAACCUUUUUAGUCAACAUUUUCAAAGAGCAAGUAGCUUUAUCUUUGAAUAAAUUUAGUAAUUAAUUGCCUAUUUUUAUUAAAAUAUAUAUUCACAUGGAUUUUUUUUUGAAGAAAACAUUGUUCAAACAUAGAAAUUUAUGUAAUCAUUCUCUAAUUGGUAAGGAUUAAGGAUGACGUGGAAUCACAAUUUCUUACAAUCCCUUCUCAUCAUGUUGGAAUGAUUUUUAAAAAAAAUCCAACCAGAGUCUAUUUGAAUUAAUUACUGAUAUUAUAAAAAUAAAGAAAACAAAAUUAUGUGAAAUAAGUAAAUAGAAUAAUUUGAGCAUAAUGGAUUACCAAAGUGCUGGCCAAUCACUGCAAUAUGAAGAAUGGAGAGUCCAUCAUGAUCUCUAGUGUAAUGCUUGUGAAGAUUUCCUCCCAUUCCUUCAAUCUGUGUAGCCAAGUACUUCACCAUCGACAAGUUGCCAUAUUCGACAGCUCUGAACAAUGGGGUUUCCCCCAACUUGUUCCGAUCCGCGAGUAUCUCUUCCCUCUCCCGUAUAUAGUCUUCAUGAUGCAAGCCGUCAGAGAACAAUACCUCCUUCAUUAACAAAUCGGCUGCUUCGGCUUUGGCAGUGGUGACCAGUUCAUGGAGUACGGUGUUCCCAUAAACUGUCUUCGCCUUCAAUACCUCGCACUUCUUUGUUUGCGGCACCAACUUAACCAGGGUUUGAAGCAUUGCUCCACUUCCUCAGUAAGCUGCAACGUGAAACAUAUGUAUCUCCACAAGCCGUGAUUGGGUUGAACAAGGCCUCAUGGUUUUCCUUGUAAGUCGCUGCCAACCACUGAUCGUGGUUUGCCAAAAGAGUUGUCGUAAGCCACUUUCAAUUCAUGGAAUUUGCUGUUCAUCUCGGAUUUGGAGAUCAUUAUUUCUUUCUCCAUUCCCAUUGAUGAAGCUUUGAUAUAUAACUUAUAUAACUACAAUCUCUCUGGCCUCAACUUUCGUACCCAACGGCAUCGAGAAACCACACAACCAUUUAGCAUUUCAGUCUUGAAGUACACCUCUAAAUUGACGCAUGAAGUUCAUCAUUACGUGACACUAGCCCAUCUGUAUUAUGAUUUAUCCAAUCUUUUUGGACAAGACUAAUUCAAUAAAAAACGCAUGGAUUUAGGAUGAUCCAAUUUUAAAUUUGUCUCUACAUAAUUCCUCGCCCACAUAUAACCUGUAUCCACAAAGGCUUGAUCAUAAUUUUGAGAGCUAAAAUAACAUUUUAAACAUUUAUUUAUCAUUUAAUGUAUGUUUUGUGAUAUUUAUGUUGAUUAUAAAAUUACUUAUCUUUUAAAUUUUAUUUCAAAUAUAUAGUGUUAUAUUUUUGAAUUUGUGAUAAUUAUAUUUUAAUAGUUAAAAUAUAAUUUAUAUAUUUAAAUUAAAAAUUUACAAAGAAUUAAAAUUAACUACUUAAAAUUUAUAUUUCAGCUAUCAAAAAAUUAGUAAUAAAUUAAAAUAAAUAAUUUUCUCAUAUUUUUAUUGAAACAUUGAAUUUAAAUGUCAUUUAAAUAUAUAUAUAUUUGCUUUUCAACAUUAUAUCUAAGAUCAAAAUUUUAACUUCUUAAAAACAAUUUUUAACAAUAGUACUUCAAUUUUAAACCAAUUUUUUUUUAAAAAAAAUUCGGGAGCAACGUAAUUCUAUUUAUAAAAGUUUUACAUAGUGUAGUAAUAAUUAAUCCAUUAAUAACUAAUAGGCAUAAUGAAAAAUUUAUCCCUUAAUGUUUAUAUUCUUUUUAUCAAUUUGACCCUUUUUCUUUUAGUUAAGUUUAACCCUUAACUUUCUAUAAAGAAUCAAAUUUAACCAUCAACCUUUCAAAAAAAAGUAAAAUUGUUUUUGUUUAAAUAUAAUAGUUAUUAAAACAUUUAAUUUUUAAACAUGGCAAACCGCAUGACAAUUUAUGUGUAUUUUAUGUUAUUUUUUAAAUUUUUAUGAAUUUUUUAUAUAUUUUUUAAUUUUUAAAUAUUUAUUAACAUUACAUAUAAAACAAAUAGUUCCAUAUCAACAUCAAAUAAGAUUACCACACGGGUUGCAAAACGAUUUGAUUUGUUUUGAAAGAUUAAUAAUUAGAUUUAACUAAAAAAAAGAGAGAAUAAAUAUCAAAUUGAUAAAAAAUGUAAACAUUUAAAACUAAAUUUGUCAUUAAGCCCCGAAAUAGUUAUAGCAAUUAUUUCAGCAACUAAUAUGUGUGGAUUUAAGUACGUUUAAACGCGUUUUUUUUUUUAAAUUUAAGGGUUAAAAAGAUUAUAAAUAAAAGUAAACAUCAUAUGAAAAAAAAUAUUACAUUACAAUAGAGAUAUAUACUUUUAUUUUGCUUAUAACAAAAAAGAAAAUCCAUGUAUUAUAAGGUUGUAAGUAAAUUUAUCUCUUUUAAAAUAAACUGACCAAUUAAAUCUUUAUAUCAUUGUGAAGUAAGCAAAUAAAGAUAAUUAAAUAUGAUUAAUAUAUAUAUAUUAAAAAAUCUCCAAAGUUUUUCAAAAGAAAAUGAAAAAAAACAAAUCAUUUCAACCUUUAGUUUUGAUUCAAUUAAUUUUAUAACUUAAAAAUAUAAAUUAAUAAUAAUUAAUAUAAAAGUAUAAAAUUUUAAAAAUAAAAAAAUAUUUAUAAUAUAUGAAAGCACGAGAAAUUUUUGAAUUAGUUUACCAUAUUAUUAAAUAACUAAUUUUAAAAAAAUUAGACAUAAUAAUUUAUUAAUAUUUUACUAAUUACGAUGUGAUAAUAAUAAAAAUAUCAUUAUUUAACAAAUAAUUAAUAAAUAGUAUAUUAAUAUAGUAGAAUAAUUAUUUGGUGCGGUGAUGAAAAAUUUUAACUAUUGUUCGACUCUCCGUGGACCUUCUCACUCCCUCGCCGCUCGAAUCCUAGUAAGUUCUUUCUCAGAUCUUCUGCUAAUGGCGCGCCUUGUUUUUUUUUUUUUGUCUUUCUAUGCUAAAUUGAGCCGUGGGGUGUGAGCGGUGUUAGCCUGCUCCGCCAUCGUGAUCGCCGGAGGUUCAGCUCAGCUAGUCGUAGGGAAUUACUAGAAUGCCCUUCAAUAGUUAAUGAAUUAGCAGAAGGCAGUGGGGUUUUCUUGGCUUUUCUUCAGAUGAUGGAAGCGAAAACUUAAUUAAUUUUUGAGGGAAAUAAAAAUGGGAUUCAAUCUUAUGAUAUUUCUUCAAUUUUUUUUCUCUCUAAUAUUCUGGGAAACUGCUGUAUUUUGAUGAUAUGGGUUUUGUAGGUGUAAUUAAUGGCUUAAUCAUGGGUAUUUUGAUCAUAAAAAUGUUUCAUUUCAGGCCAUCUCAAUUGACUGCCCGAGGAUAAAACGGUAGAGAAGGCAAAAUUUAAUUUGGUGUCCCAAUCUCUUGCAGACUUUAAUUAGUUCAAGUAGGUGUAUGAACAUUUGUCGGCGCAACAGAAAAAAAAAAACCCAGAAAAAGAAAAAGAAAAAGAAAUGUGAUAUGCAAAUGUUAUUGUAGGUUAAAAGAACGUGGUUUUUCGGGACAGGUUUUAUGGGAAGAGUGGGUUCGGUUUCGGGUUGGUAAUGCUUCCUAGAGAAACAGUUAGUUUUGCUUUAGCAAAUGAUCAAAGUUAUCAUUUUUAAUUUUGUAUGAAUUGUUUUGUUGAGACUCGAGUGUUGGUGCAUUAUUAAUAUGAAUUGCCUUUUUCGGCAUAGUGAAAAGCAUGUAAAUACGAGCAAAAUGGGGUGCUUGGACUUAGGUUGGGGGAUCAUGUAGAACUACAAGGAUGAGAGGCAUUUUAGUUAAUUGUUUCAUAUGUGAUAUUCAUGAUGGUGGUUGAUAUGUUUCUCGUUGUGUUGCUUGUUUGUUUCUUGUUGUCAUCUUGGUUAGUUCACAACCGUUAAGACUCUUCGAUUUUCAUGUCCUGGUAGAAGUAGUUUGUAAACUUAUGAUUGUGUUCAUCGCGGUCAUCGGUGUUGUCUAAUCUAUGGACCAACUUGUGAAUGUUAUUAUAAUGAAGCUACGCACCUUCAGUGAAUUGGCAAAUUCUUGAUGAUUUUUGUUGUGUUUAUAUCUCAAUUUUCUCGAAUAUGCCUCUGGAUAUCUCAAUGUUCUUGUUCCUAGGAAUAAAUUAAUAUUCUAUUCCUUUCUAGAUAAAGAGAAACAUGAGUUUUAUUGAGAUUGAUACUGAUCCGGCCUUGUUAUGUUAGGAUGAGACAGGAGUUUAUAAGAACCUCUUACAGGAAAUUGCACAAAGAGUUGGGGCUCCAUUGCCUCAGUAUACAACAUUUAGAUCAGGUCUCUGGCACCUGCCUAUUUUUACAGGGACGGUUGAAUUGGCUGGAAUCAGAUUCAUCGGGGAACCAGCUAAGAACAAGAAACAAGCGGAAAAAAAUGCAGCCAUGGCAGCUUGGACAUCUCUAAAACUAUGUGAGUCUGUGUUUCAUUUUUCCUAGGGAUAAAUGUUUGUUCAAAAUUGAAUACUGUGUUUUAUUUCCAGUGGCGAAAGAAACUGCAAGUUCUUCUUCGGAGCCAGAGAACAAUGAUGAGCUUGAACAGAUCACUAUAGCUCGGGCUCUGUUGAAUAAAGGAAAAUUUGGCUAUGGCAAACUCCUCCAAUGCGCCAAUACUAUUUACAAAUAAGUUUCCUAGUCAGAAUCCUAGACCAACAAGUCCACAGCCUCCUGCUACCACCUCGAAAAUCCUUACUUUAAUCUGCCCGAAGGUGGUUCCUCGAAACAGAUCUAUGUCAGCAACAGCAAAUGAGAAGCCCGUACUGAUAUCAUUGCAAACACCUACUCCUGAAAGCCGUGGUGUUCGUCCAUAAAAUUACAAUGAACUCCCUAAAUUUCUUUUGUCUUCAUAAUAGAAAAUUGGAUCUAGGCCUCCCUGUAAUGAGGCCCAUGAUAUAGAAAGCUGAAAGGGCCAUCACUGAAACCCGAAU